CUCCAGAGGCGUGCGACCUCUAACAUAUAUAGCAACUACUAUCACGCUACUUACCUGCAACUCACCCACUACCUUCCUGAGUUCCACCUGCAAACCUUCACACGGAAGUUUAGUCUCCAGUCUCCAAUCAUCAACCUGUUCCCAUUCGCCUCAGUGGAUUGGACUGACCCCUUGUCUGGCACAGUUGUGAAAGAUACCAACUGGAUGAAGAUUCCUGUCCAAUCAUCCUGUCCAAAGGGCUUUUCACACUUGAUGCAGUAUUAAAUGCAUCUAGGAUCCAAAAUUAACACUCCCAAGUGCCAAAUGUGAGCAAAAAUGGCUUUGGUAGGAACAGGUGAACGCCCUCUCUUUGAUUUUUCCUUGCCCUGUUGAACGGUUUCGUCCAGAGGGAGUGUGAUUCGCUCAGAGGGGCCAAUGGUCACUUGACACUGUUGUUUGUCAGGAAUCAUACAGUCCUAAAUGAUGUGGUUCUUUUGAAUGACAGCUAAUUUAUCAUUUAGCCAUCCUGGGCUAAUAAUGACUAAUGACGGAUGGGGCUGUUUGGGGAUCUGUGAGUAGAGCUAAUCAGUGUUUACUGUUUACUGUGGGUGUGUGUGUGUACGUGAGAGAGCCAAUGUGUAUCAAAUAUGAAGAAUUGGAUUUUGCUGCGUAUUUGUUUCCUGGCGGACAGUUUUAAAGAAAUAAGGGCCACUUUUCCCGGAAGCAAGCAUACCGUCAGUGAUAAAACACAAACGCGGGGAACUGAAGAAAAAAAGCCAUCUCCCUUUGAAUGAGCCCUUCGAUGAAAAUGUGUAAUAUAAAUAAAGCCACAGCCUUUGAAAAGAAAACCCUUCCUUCCUGGAGCUGUCAUCCAAAGGGAAAAAGCGCACUCCAAGCUACUCUUAAAUUCCCAAAGACCGUUCUGUCAUCAGACUCCCAACUGCUCCCUCCAAACACGCGAUGCCCCAACAGGCCUUUCAUCUGCAGACCAGGGUCCCCAACUCCCCCCUCCAAAACACUGCAGAUCAUCUGCUGGAAUAGGCAUAACACACUAAUAAGAGCGGAAAGAAAUGAAUGAAUGAGGAUUUAAUAUGUUGAUUGAUGCCAGGUGAUUGGAUUAAGAGGGCUGGAUCUAAAGAAUGAAUGUUUUUUUUUCAUUAA
Pimephales promelas (fathead minnow) is the source of this 1140-nucleotide long non-coding RNA. RefSeq lists it as uncharacterized. The record is from RefSeq and is a predicted model, not a curated record. NCBI's taxonomy places the organism in Eukaryota, Metazoa, Chordata, Actinopteri, Cypriniformes, Leuciscidae.